RNAcentral lists this non-coding RNA (27 nucleotides) under Bombyx mori (domestic silkworm). The record is from RNAcentral. Lineage: Eukaryota; Metazoa; Arthropoda; Insecta; Lepidoptera; Bombycidae.
UCGAAGAAGAGAGCUCCCGUGUAUAAC